AACGAACGCUGGCGGCAUGCUUAACACAUGCAAGUCGAACGAGACCUUCGGGUCUUGUGGCGCACGGGUGCGUAACGCGUGGGAACCUGCCCUUAGGUUCGGAAUAACUCCCUGUAAGGGGUGCUAAUACCGGAUAAUGUCUUCGGACCAAAGAUGUCCGGCUUCUGGAUGGGCGCGCGUUGGAUUAGCUAGUUGGUAGGGGAAAAGCCGACCAAGGCGACGAUCCAUAGCUGGUCUGAGAGGAGGAGCAGCCAGACGGGGAGUGAGACACGGCCCAGACGGGGACGGGGGGCAGCAGUGGGGAAUAUUGGGCAAUGGGGGAAAGCGUGAUCCAGCAGUGCCGGGGGAGUGAGGAAGGCCUUAGGGUGGUAAAGCUCUUUUACCCGGGAUGAUAAUGACGGUACCGGGAGAAGAAGCGCCGGCUAACUACGUG
Molecule: ribosomal RNA, 433 nt
Filed under: uncultured bacterium
Lineage: Bacteria
Description: partial 16S ribosomal RNA
Rfam family: Bacterial small subunit ribosomal RNA
Source: RNAcentral